CCUCCCAAACAUAGGGAACCUCCAGUGGAAAACUGCAAGCAUAGAAAGAGAAACUCAUUGCUAAACCCCAAAAAGAAGAUGAAAGAAGCGAAACAAAAUCUCAGGCACAUUUGGGCUGGGUGCCCAGGGUAUUAAAGUAAGACCAGUCAGGAUCUGUGGAAACAUCUGAUUAUUACAUGAAAGGAUCAUGGUGAUCUGGAGACAGAACAGAGAAUAUGAAUGAAGCAUAUUCUGGAGACAGAGGCUGGCAAGAGGACAUGGAUCAGCUCAUGGAAGAGGAGAACCAAUGCAAGGACAUUUUGAGAGUCAGUGGUAAGAAACCCGCAAUAUACAAGGAUAAGAACCCAUCCAACUUGGACUGAUUCUGAAAACUGUAUUUGUUCAUCAGGAAGAUUUCCAGCUGGAUUCAGGCAUGUCAUUCAUGCAUGUAAAUAAUCACAUAUUCCUGAUAUAUGUAAUUUAUUACUCUAGUUCUACAGGUGAGUACAAAAAAUUAAAAGAACCUGCAGACACUUGAUAAAAAUGAAAAAUAAUGACUUCAGAAUAUGGUAAAUGCAUAAAUCUGUUACUGAGUCAGUAUAGGUCAUUUUCUGAAAUGCAUGUAAAGUGAUUUAUGAAUGAUCUAUAAAAUCAUUUUAACAUCACUUCUUUUUAAACUUCUAUUUGAAUUUUUUUUUUCCAAGUCCAUAGGAAUUUUUUUAAAAAGCUCUAAUAAAAUAUUCAUGGUAUUAGCUAAACAAAGGAUAACCAUGGUUAGAAUCUGGAUCUGGAAAUGCAGUUAGUGAUUACUGCUUUCAAGUAAUGUUAAGAUAUUUGAAUUAUUUGUUACUGCACGUGAGAAGUAUUUUUUCUUAGUAAACCAUCAGUGGAAAACACUGAAAAUGACAAGAUCUGAAAGCAGAUUUCUAAGGAUUAAGAAUUUGAAUUCAAAUUAUUGCUCUCUAAGUGCACAGAACACACAUGUGACAGCUCUCCGUAUGGUCUUGUCAUCCACAGUGCAGAAUAAAGGAUCACAUACUUAUUUAAAUCAUUUUGGGGUUUUAUUUAAAUUAGUUGCUAGUGUACCGCUUAUCUUACUGGUUCUUAAAUAUGAGUAAACACUUGUAUUCAGAAAUCCUCUUUCAGUUUUCUGAGACAUUUUCAAGGAUUUUUCACUUUGACAGUGCACAAAGUUUUGUAAUGAAUGAAACUGGCUUUUCAAACAUUUUCAACAUGAGCACUUAGACCAGCUAAAUAAAAAAUGGUCCUGUAAAUGAUAAAGUGUUAUUGAGGCUACAGUGACAAUGGAAUGAGCAAUAAAGUGGGUAUCUAACUGUCUCUAAAAGUCCUUCACAAAAUCCAGUGCAUGAUUUUUUGGAGAAGUGCACUCUGGAAUGAAUGUUUUUUAUACUGUUAAUCUCUGAAAUAGCCUUGUCCACCUCUAGUGCUGUUGCACAAACUGUCAUGCUCAGCUGUGCAUACCCUUUGCUUCAAAGAGAUAGGAAGAAUGAUGUCUGGAUUUGUAGUUCUUGUUUCCAGGUUAAUCAGUCAAAGUGAACGUAUUGGAUUCCUGACAAAAUUUGCAAUUGCACACAGUGUUCAUACUGGACUCUGUUUAGUCAUUACAAUGAUAUGUAUCCAUUGAGUUUGAGCUCUGUCGGACCAUAAAAGGAUCACCACUUUUUUAACUUCUGAAGUCUUUUUCAGUUUGUGUCAAGUGUUCUAUUAUGAAAAAACUAGUUCCAUCCAUACUUUAGUGUGAAGGAGCAAGAUUCAGGAUGGGAACAGUUCCAGGCAUGGAGGAAGAUAUACAGCAAUUGACAGGACUUUAUUAUAAGGACUUUACAGUUUCUAUGUGCUUAUAAAUAUACACAUUGUAUGUUGCUUCUAUAAUUAUAUUUCCUGGGCGUGCCCAGGCAUGCCUGCUUCCCUGCUCCCUUUCCUUCCCCACUCCCCUCUCUGGCCAGAGAAGCUGUAGAGACGAGACAGUCUCCAUUUGCCCUUUCCUUCUCUGGCUCCUCCCACAUUCCUUCCCCUUUUGCCUAUGUCCCUAUCCCGAUUUGUUCCCCCGUUUGUCUGUCUCAUGCUCCACCCCAUGUUCUGGUCCUUUCCCCACCUGAACUGAUAAAAAAUCCUGUGCACGCCUCAAUAAAGCAUUCCAUUUGCA
Molecule: long non-coding RNA, 2146 nt
Organism: Pseudopipra pipra
Lineage: Eukaryota; Metazoa; Chordata; Aves; Passeriformes; Pipridae
Exons: 3
Source: RefSeq, a predicted model, not a curated record